Cryptomeria japonica (Japanese cedar) is the source of this 350-nucleotide long non-coding RNA. RefSeq lists it as uncharacterized. The record is from RefSeq and is a predicted model, not a curated record. Lineage: Eukaryota; Viridiplantae; Streptophyta; Pinopsida; Cupressales; Cupressaceae. The transcript has 4 exons.
GAAUCUCCAAAAAAAUAAUUUAUCUGGUGAACUUCCAAACUGGUUAUCUAAACUGCCGCAUCUUAAAGAAUUGUCACUUGAUAACAACUAUUUCAUUGGACCAUUAGCCAAUUUGAGCAAUCUCUUCAAGUUAGAAAGACUGAAUCUCCAAAACAAUUCUUUAUCUGGUGAACUUCCAAAUUGGUUAUCUGGACUACCUCGUCUUAAAGAAUUAAAUAUAUCCAACAAUGAUUUCGAGGGUGUCAUUCCGCAACAACUUCUCAACAAAAAAUGUACAAUCGAGUAAAUUUUAUAUUUAUUGUAUUUUAUUUGUUAUGAACGAUAUAUAUUUCCAUUUUCUUUUUUUUUUU